GUGCUGGCUUUGGCAGCACAUGUACUUGAAUUGGAAUGAUACAGAGAACAUUAGCAUGGCCCCUGCACAAGGAUGACACACAAAUUUAUGAAGUGUUCCAUAUUAAA
This 107-nucleotide small nuclear RNA is filed under the name Prolemur simus (greater bamboo lemur). Lineage: Eukaryota; Metazoa; Chordata; Mammalia; Primates; Lemuridae. The record is from RNAcentral.